AGCGGGUAGCCGUGGUUCGCAGGGUGUAUAUGUAUGUACACAUAAUUACAUCCAUAUGCGAAUACUUAUGUAUGUAUGUACGUCGGCUUGGUUUUCAAAACGUUAUCAAAACCUCUAAUGCCCAAUUCAAGUAUUUGGAUGUAUGUAUGUAUAUUUAUUUAGGUAAUAAUGGAAAUAUGACUUUAUUAUAAUUACCAACAGAUUUAAUGGAAUUUAUCAUUAAAUAUGUCAAAUUGCACAUACAUACAUACAUAUAUAUAUACAUACAUAUGAGCUUUGUUAUCAAAUGUGUACAUACAUACAUAUAUGGAGAAUAUCUAUAAAUGAUAUCCAUAGCCGUUUGCGCAUUGUAAAUAUGCGAAUCUGUAAGCGUACAUUGAAAUUAGCAUAAUUUUUCUCAUUUAACACUGAAAAUACUCAAUUCUGCUAUUUUCGACGCUCCUGUUAAAUAUUGGUGAAAUCCGCUUAUAGAAAAGAGUACCCCUCCAAAAAAUGAAAUAUCGUAAGUUUGGCAACGCGGUGAACCUUCUCUAUAUUAAACGUUCUCUGCAUUCGCUCAACUUUUUUGUUGCCAUACUAAACUAAUUGAGAAAUGUCACACGAGUUCAUCCGAAAUUGACAUAUUUGACGUAUUAUUGUUUUUGUUUUGGAAUUUUAUUAUUCGCUUAUUCGUUAUUGUGUGUUUUGAAAUUUUACCGUGAUUUUAAAAAAAUGAAUCAAAAUGUUUAACAACGUAGAUUUAUAUUUUGAAGACAGUGUUGUUGAAAGGACAACAGCGAAGUUACUUAGGCAGCGACGGUUCAUCAGAGAUCACUCUAAUCCCAUGGAACUUUCUUCAGUGUUAUUCAAAAAAAACUUUCGGUUAAGUAAGGAUGCAUUUAUGUAUGUGCUAGACAGCAUAAAGGAAAAAUGUCUGACUAACCUAUCGUCGUCAAUAUCGCCGAUGUUGAAAUUGUGCUGCGUUCUCAGAUUUUUGGCUCAUGGGAGCUAUCAGCAAACAGUGGGAAAUGAUUUCCAACUAGGUAUUGCACAGCCCACUGUUUCGUUGAUUUUUAAGGAAAUGCUUCCAAUAUUGGAAUCCACUCUGUGCAGUGUCUGGAUCAAAACAGACAUAACUGAAGAGCAGAAACAAACAGCAAGAAGGAAAUUUUUCACCAGAUCAGGAAUUCCAAAUGUGGUUGGUUGCGUUGAUGUGUGAACAAGCACUUAUAUGUGAAUAGAAAAGGAUUUUACAGCAUAAAUGCGAUGAUUGCAUGCGAUCAGGAUAUGGUCAUAUGGUGUGUUGAUGCAAGAUAUGGAGGAUCUAGCCACGAUUCAUUUGUGUGGAACAAUAGCGCUUUAAAAACAUAUCUGGAGCAAACAUACCAAAAAGGAGAUCAUAAUUCGGUUUACUUAGGUAACUACAAUUUAUAUGUGUAUGUACAUACAUAAAUACUAAAAUUAAAAAUUAAAUUAUAAUAUAUAUAUAUUGGUGAUUCUGGUUAUCCACUACACGAGUAUCUAUGGACGCCUUUCCGAAACGCUUUACCAGGAACAGUGGAAUCAAAUUUUAAUAAGAAACAUGUAAAGGCAAGGAACGUAGUUGAACGGACAAUUGGAGUGCUGAAAUGCCGUUUUCGUUGUAUACUAGAUGAACGUAAACUACGAUAUCCUCCUAGUAAAGCAACUGUUAUUGUAAAUGUUUGUUGUGCUUUACACAAUAUUUGCAAACAAUAUAAUGUGAAUGAUCCUGAAGAAGAAACUUUUGUUGAUGUGGUAGUACCACUGGAACCAGUUGAAGGAAACUUCGCCGAAUGGGUCCUAUUUCAGUCUUUAAAUUCUUUUGUAUGUUUUUAUAUAAAUUUAUUUAUUGUAACUAUGGAUAAUAGAGUGUGGUAACUAUGGUAUUUGUUUAGAGUUGAUGACUUCGUACAAUGAAUUUUAAAUUAAAAAUUAUCAGACUCCAUUUCCUUUAACUCUUUCUCAUUUAUCUUCAAAUCUAAUAGAAAAAAUUCAUAAGUAGUAAAUAUGUUGGGAUACAUACUAUA
Molecule: long non-coding RNA, 2027 nt
Organism: Bactrocera neohumeralis
Lineage: Eukaryota; Metazoa; Arthropoda; Insecta; Diptera; Tephritidae
Exons: 3
Source: RefSeq, a predicted model, not a curated record